This 530-nucleotide ribosomal RNA is filed under the name uncultured eukaryote. RNAcentral's name for it is "SSU rRNA". It matches the Rfam family "Eukaryotic small subunit ribosomal RNA", at positions 21 to 549 of the family's 1831-position model. The record is from RNAcentral.
UAGUCAUAUACUUGUCUCAAAGAUUAAGCCAUGCAUGUCUAAGCACAAGCCGAUUAAUGGUGAAGCCGCGAAUGGCUCAUUACAACAGCCAUAGUUUCUUAGAUCUUACUUUUCUACUUGGAUAACUGUGGUAAUUCUAGAGCUAAUACACGCAAACAAGCUCAGACCUUACGGAAUGAGCGCAUUUAUUAGAACAAAAACCAAUCGGGCUUCGGUCCGUCAUUUGGUGAAUCUGAAUAACUUUGCUGAUCGCACGGUCUUCGUACCGGCGACAUAUCUUUCAAAUGUCUGCCUUAUCAACUUUCGAUGGUAGUUUAUGCGCCUACCAUGGUUGUAACGGGUAACGGAGAAUAAGGGUUCGACUCCGGAGAGGGAGCCUGAGAAACGGCUACCACAUCCAAGGAAGGCAGCAGGCACGCAAAUUACCCACUCCCGGCACGGGGAGGUAGUGACGAAAAAUAACGAGACGGCUCGCUAUGCGGUCCGUCAUCGGAAUGGGUACAAUUUAAAUCCUUUAACGAGGAUCUAUU